RNAcentral lists this ribosomal RNA (253 nucleotides) under uncultured bacterium. RNAcentral's name for it is "partial 16S ribosomal RNA". It matches the Rfam family "Bacterial small subunit ribosomal RNA", at positions 524 to 776 of the family's 1533-position model. The record is from RNAcentral.
UACGGAGGGUGCUAGCGUUGUUCGGAAUCACUGGGCGUAAAGGGCGUGUAGGCGGUCUGUUAAGUCUGAUGUGAAAUCCCCUCGCUCAACGAGGGAACUGCGUCGGAUACUGGCAGACUCGAGUACCGGAGAGGAAGGUGGAAUUCCCGGUGUAGCGGUGAAAUGCGUAGAUAUCUGGAGGAAUACCGGUGGCGAAGGCGGCAUCCUGGACCGGCAUUGACGCUGAGGAGCGAAAGCCAGGGGAGCAAACGGG